This 347-nucleotide ribosomal RNA is filed under the name uncultured bacterium. RNAcentral's name for it is "bacterial SSU rRNA". It matches the Rfam family "Bacterial small subunit ribosomal RNA", at positions 450 to 793 of the family's 1533-position model. The record is from RNAcentral.
GUUAAUAGUCAUACUCAUUUUGACGUUUAGCUGCAGAAGAAGCACCGGCUUAACUCCGUUGCCAGCUAGCCGCGGUAAUACGGAGGGUGCGAGCGUUAAUCGGAAUUACUGGGCGUAAAGCGCAUGCAGGUGGUUUGUUAAGUCAGAUGUGAAAAGCCCGGGGCUCAACCUCGGAAUUGCAUUUGAAACUGGCAAACUAGAGUACUGUAGAGGGGGUAGAAUUUCAGGUGUAGCGGUGAAAUGCGUAGAGAUCUGAAGGAAUACCGGUGGCGAAGGCGGCCCCCUGGACAGAUACUGACACUCAGAUGCGAAAGCGUGGGGAGCAAACAGGAUUAGAUACCCUGUAG